RNAcentral lists this ribosomal RNA (465 nucleotides) under Vreelandella stevensii. Its description in RNAcentral is "partial 16S ribosomal RNA". It matches the Rfam family "Bacterial small subunit ribosomal RNA", at positions 338 to 795 of the family's 1533-position model. The record is from RNAcentral. Lineage: Bacteria; Pseudomonadati; Pseudomonadota; Gammaproteobacteria; Oceanospirillales; Halomonadaceae.
CCUACGGGAGGCUGCAGUGGGGAAUAUUGGACAAUGGGGGCAACCCUGAUCCAGCCAUGCCGCGUGUGUGAAGAAGGCCCUCGGGUUGUAAAGCACUUUCAGUGAGGAAGAACGCCUGGUGGUUAAUACCCAUCAGGAAAGACAUCACUCACAGAAGAAGCACCGGCUAACUCCGUGCCAGCAGCCGCGGUAAUACGGAGGGUGCGAGCGUUAAUCGGAAUUACUGGGCGUAAAGCGCGCGUAGGUGGCUUGAUAAGCCGGUUGUGAAAGCCCCGGGCUCAACCUGGGAACGGCAUCCGGAACUGUCAAGCUAGAGGGCAGGAGAGGAAGGUAGAAUUGCCGGUGUAGCGGGGAGAUGCGUAGAGAUCGGGAGGAAUACCAGUGGCGAAGGCGGCCUUGUGGACUGACACUGACACUGAGGUGCGAAAGCGUGGGUAGCAAACAGGAUUAGAUACCCCGGUAGUC